RNAcentral lists this non-coding RNA (31 nucleotides) under Mus musculus (house mouse). Lineage: Eukaryota; Metazoa; Chordata; Mammalia; Rodentia; Muridae. The record is from RNAcentral.
UGGAUCUUUAUUCCAGGUGGUCUGGCUAGCC